This 433-nucleotide ribosomal RNA is filed under the name uncultured bacterium. Its description in RNAcentral is "partial 16S ribosomal RNA". It matches the Rfam family "Bacterial small subunit ribosomal RNA", at positions 29 to 507 of the family's 1533-position model. The record is from RNAcentral.
AACGAACGCUGGCGGCAUGCCUAACACAUGCAAGUCGAACGAGACCUUCGGGUCUAGUGGCGCACGGGUGCGUAACGCGUGGGAACCUGCCCUUAGGUUCGGAAUAACUCCCCGAAAGGGGUGCUAAUACCGGAUAAUGUCUUCGGAGCAAAGAUUUAUCGCCUUUGGAUGGGCCCGCGUUGGAUUAGCUAGUUGGUAGGGUAAAAGCCUACCAAGGCGACGAUCCAUAGCUGGUCUGAGAGGAUGAUCAGCCACACUGGGACUGAGACACGGCCCAGACUCCUACGGGAGGCAGCAGUAGGGAAUAUUGGACAAUGGGCGAAAGCCUGAUCCAGCAAUGCCGCGUGAGUGAUGAAGGCCUUAGGGUUGUAAAGCUCUUUUACCCGGGAUGAUAGUGACAGUACCGGGAGAAUAAGCACCGGCUAACUCCGUG